CUACGGGGCGCUCCAGUCGAGAAUCUUCCGCAAUGGACGAAAGCCUGACGGAGCGACGCCGCGUGCGGGAUGAAGGCCUUCGGGUUGUAAACCGCUGUCAGUGGGGAGGAAAUGCAUCAGGGUUCUCCCUGGUGUUUGACCGAUCCGCAGAGGAAGCGCAGGCUAAGUUCGUGCCAGCAGCCGCGGUAACACGAACUGCGCGAACGUUAUUCGGAAUCACUGGGCUUAAAGAGUUCGUAGGCGGCCUUUCAAGUCGGGUGUGAAAUCCCUCGGCUCAACCGAGGAAUUGCGCCUGAUACUGUUGGGCUUGAGGGGGAUAGGGGUGAGCGGAACUGAUGGUGGAGCGGUGAAAUGCGUUGAUAUCAUCAGGAACACCGGUGGCGAAGGCGGCUCACUGGAUCUCUUCUGACGCUGAGGAACGAAAGCUAGGGGAGCGAACGGGAUUAGAUACCCCAGUAGUC
Molecule: ribosomal RNA, 461 nt
Filed under: uncultured bacterium
Lineage: Bacteria
Description: partial 16S ribosomal RNA
Rfam family: Bacterial small subunit ribosomal RNA
Source: RNAcentral